UGGGAUCAGGGAAAAUGGGACUCUGUUUCAUGUGUAACAAUCCAAACAAGCUAGCUCAAGCAUGUUCUCCAGGUUAUUACAAGAGCAGUAGGAGAACAAGCCCCAACAUAGAAGCAUUGUUCAAACUUAUAUGUCACACAUCACAUGUGCUAACAUCCCACUGCCAAAUCAAGCCACAUGGCUGAGCCAGGAGUCAACUGAGGCCAUUGAUGUAAGCAAAUCUACCCUAGACACAUGGAUCUCAUAUGCCCAACACCCUUUCUUCCUCCAUGGGUGCAGGAAACAUUGGUGGCAAGACUUUCACUUUUUUAAGGGAAAUAUUUAACAUUAUGGCAUCCAUUUGCAAACAGCAUUGAAAAUAAACCCAUAUUCUAAGGAAUAUGAAAAAUGUUUUUUGGGUUAACAUGUAGGUGAAAGAACUAAAUAAGACCUGGCUUUAAAAAAACUAAUCUUGAAAACAAAUAAUUUAUUUUCUUUUUUCUUUAAGGUAAAUUCAGAAUUUCCUUUGGAACAAGUUUGGUUGAAAUAAGGAGCCAACAUCCAAAUCUGAAUCCUUAUAAAGUCAUCUUUUUUAUAAUUUAUAAGAAUCUUAGCCAGCCCCUGCAAAUCAACUAAUUUCAGAGAAAUCUUCUUUUUAACCUUCUGGAGUGAGGAUAAAAAUUCAAAUUUUCCUAAAGAAGAGGAAAAAAAAUGAGUUAAACCACAAAGCCAGGGUUAUUUCUCCUAGGCAACUGGAUUAAGGCCAAAGAUCCCAAUGGCAGGGCCAGUUGACUUUAUGACACUCACAUGCUUAGAUGGCACCUUAUUCUCCCAAUACCAAAUGUCUGAAUGUUUUCAGUGUUUUAUAGACCAAACAUUUGGAUGCUUGACCACAUUUUUCCAUUUUCCAUCUGGAAAAGAAUGAACACUGUCUGAGAUUUGUCUCUUAGACUUCCUAAGAAGAUGACCUUGAAUGCCUUAGAAGCGGCAUCAAUUCAACCCAGCACAAAUUGCAGUGACUGUCCUUACAAUCAGCUGCCUAAAGGGCAUCUGUGUUAGGUAAUCCAGAGCAUUUGAAUAAAAAUUAAGGUUGAAGGAAUUAAGAUGGAAUUGGGAGUUUAUUACGUGUUCACUAUGUGCUGGGCCCUUUUAAAUAUAUUAACAUUACCUAGGAUACCAUUGGCCUUCACUUUGCACUUAAGAAAUGAAGUUCCAUGUGCUUAAAUGAUUCACUCAAAGUCACAUGGCUGGUCAAGAAUCGAGCACCCUGUCAUGCCCUUGAGAAGCCUGCAAGCACAGUGUCUGCCACACAGAUGUCUUCUUUCAGGCAUCUGUUUAGACACACACACAAAUCAAGUUUGAAGAGUUAUGAAAAGGAAACCGCUCCCUGCGAUGUCUGUGAUGUGUGUGCCCGCACACGUACACACGCCUGCCUCUCCUCCCAGCCUGCUCAGUCCUGUCCACCUAACCAUCCUCUAGGACCUUCUCCUCAUGUUGGCGAGAGAAUUCUUAGGAGUUGCCUUCCUUUUUACAGACAGUGUCUGACCUGAGCGAUCACAGCUUGUCUGUCUGACCUCAGUGGAGCUUCUUAAACACAGUUGGCCUCUACCUGCCUGGAUGUCAGAAAGGCGGCUGUGAUGAAAAUGGCUUCCACCUUCAUCAAGGACAUAACAAGCACCAGGCAACCAGCAGUGCCCAAGAGAGAGAGGCGGCUCUGUGCUUCAUCUCCACUGACUGGUCAAAAGGGCAGCUACACUCAAGGUGGAAUUUACACAGUGACUAAAACUGAUGCUGCGCACAUUCCUUGAGUCAAACGGACCGCUAACCAUUGUGAGAUGGCAGAAAUGUCGCCUUUCCUCUCCAAACCCCAGUUUCCUGAAUAGUAAAAUGGAAAAGAUACAAACUAACUAACUCGUAGCAGCAUAGGGAGAAAUAAACUCAAAAGCUAACAAAAUGUGAGGUAUUUGCUGUUUCAUUAUUUUUAUUUUAUUUAUUUUAUUAAGAGACAGGAAUGGCCUUGCUCUGUCGCCCAGGAUGGAGUGCAGUGGCGCAAUUGUUACUGGUGGUGAAUCCCUACAGGUCUGCAGCAACCUCGAUUCUUGCCUCCUCAGAAGAAAGAAUUCAAAUGAGGCGCAUAAGGCAGAAGGAGAGAACAAAGCAAGUUUUAGAGCAGGAGUGAAAGUUUAUUAAAAAGUUUUCUGGCAGG
RNAcentral lists this long non-coding RNA (2185 nucleotides) under Homo sapiens (human). RNAcentral describes it as "HSALNT0265072". The record is from RNAcentral. Lineage: Eukaryota; Metazoa; Chordata; Mammalia; Primates; Hominidae.